UGAAAUCAUGCCACUGCCCUGCAGCCUGGGCGACAGAGCGAGAAUCAGUCUCAAUAAUUAAUUAAUUAAUUAAUUAAUUAAAUAAAAAAAUAAAAUAAAAUAAAGGGCAUCUGGGGGGGUGUAUCCAAAAUGAUGAGCAAAAACUAUGGCAUGUGGGGGCUGUUUCCAAUCAUCCAUCCAUUCACCCAUGAUCUAGAUUUUCUUUCUUGUUUCUUCCUUGCAGACUGACUUCAUCCUUCUGUCCAUUCAAUCAUCCAUCCAUCCACUUACCCAUCCAUCUAUCCAAAGGGGCACAAGGACACUUUUAGGGCUGAUGGAUGUGUUCACUGUCUUGACUGCUAUGAUGGUUUUAUGGGUGUGUACAUGUGUUAGAACUGGUAAAGUGGUAUACUUUAAAUGUGUGCAUGUGAGUGUACCUUAAUUAUAUUUCAAUAAAGUUGGAAAAAAGGAAGGUAAAUAACAGUAGGUCAAAACUGAUAACACCCCACAUUAUCCAUGGACAAGACAAUGGAUAAGCUGUGGAAUAUCCAUACAAUGGAAUACUGCUCAGCAGUAGAAAGGAACAAAUUGCUCAAAUAUACGACAACAUGGACCAUCUCACACAUGAAUGCUGAUCAAAAGACGUCAGAUGCGACAAUCAUUCUGUACAGUUCCAUUUAUAUACACUUCAAAAACAGAGAAAACAGGCCUGGCAUGGUGGCUUAUGCCUAUAAUUCUAGCACUUUGGGAGGCCAAGGCAGGUGGAUCACCCGAGGUCAGGAGUUCAAGGCCAGCCUGACCAACAUGGUGAAACUCUGUCUCUACUAAAAAUACAAAAAUUAGCUGGGUGUGGUGGCGCACGCCUGUAAUCCCAGCUACUCAGGAGGCUGAGGCAAGAGAAUUGCUUGAACCUGGGAGGCAGAGGUUGCAGUGAGCCGAGAUCACGCCAUUGCACUCCAGUCUGGGCAACAAGAGCAAAACUCCAGCUCAAAACAAACAAACAAACCAGAGAAAACAGAGCUAUGGUGUUUAUGAGUAUGUGCUCAGGUGGUAAAACUAUAAAGAAAAACAAGAACACAAUGAUCAUUAAGUCCUCCCUAGGGAAGGAGGAAGGGGUGGUCUCUGGGAGGGAAGAUGAUGGGGCUUCUGGGGAGCUGGCAGAUUUCUUGACCUGGGUGGUUACGUGGAUGUGUGCUUGAUAAUAAACCAUUGAGCUGUACGUUUUGUUUUGU
Molecule: long non-coding RNA, 1211 nt
Filed under: Homo sapiens (human)
Lineage: Eukaryota; Metazoa; Chordata; Mammalia; Primates; Hominidae
Description: HSALNT0035058
Source: RNAcentral